UCUCUAAUCUAUCUCAUGUUUACCGCUAAACCGCUUUGUCCGCGAAAAAAUGACAGAUCUAUUUAUGUAUGGACCAUUUUAGCGCUAUACUGCCUACAACAUGAAUCUGUAAUAACUUAAAACAAAUGUUUUCCAUUUAAUAUUUCAAAUGUGGUCCGAAGAAUAAACUUUCAGAUCAAUGUAAAAUAUGUUUGUGUCACUAAGUGAGUUUUAAUUUUUAUAACCUAUAAAUUCGUUAGGAAAUCAGGCGAAAACGCGUUAUUUUAAUUCAUUGCAAUAAGUGUUCGGUGUACAGUAGACCUAGUGAAAUCUAGCCUAGUGCAACGGAUGUAAAUAAACUGGAUACUUAGCUUUCCAGCAAAGGUAAGCAUUUAUUUUUACACUUUAAUGUAAUCAAACAAGUCGUUGUUUUCGAAAACUUGCAAAACAUAUCUGUGAUCUCUAACGAAUAAGUUGAAAUAGGCUUUCUUUAUCGCAAAAUGUUUGUUAUUUCUUUUCUGAAAAUUUUUGAGUAUGCUUUGUGUUUUCUGACAAAUUAUUUCUCAUGGGCGUGUCUUAGUUCCAAAAAUUAAGCGACGCGCCCCCGUGAGUAGAUAAAUGAAAUAAUAUUGAACCUAAUUUGGCAGAACCUAACUCUAAAACUAAACCCUUUUAUUUCUUAUAAUAUAUGAACAUUUCUAAUGUCUGACUAUUUCUUUUCAGUCUCGCUGAUCUGCACAACCAGCUCAUGUUCAACGUUACUGAACUACAAAGUAAUCCGACAAUCAGACUGGACCCGGUCAUAUCAGAAUCCAGAGGUAGGAGAUGAACAUACAAUUGAUUCUGCAUCGAUGCAUGACCUCUCCCGGAACGCGUCAAGAAUUAACAAUGGAAGAAAAUACUACAGACGUGUUUACUAACAAUAAAGUUAUUUUUGUUUUUAUGAAA
Leguminivora glycinivorella is the source of this 927-nucleotide long non-coding RNA. RefSeq lists it as uncharacterized. The transcript has 2 exons. Lineage: Eukaryota; Metazoa; Arthropoda; Insecta; Lepidoptera; Tortricidae. The record is from RefSeq and is a predicted model, not a curated record.